RNAcentral lists this ribosomal RNA (491 nucleotides) under uncultured bacterium. RNAcentral describes it as "partial 16S ribosomal RNA". It matches the Rfam family "Bacterial small subunit ribosomal RNA", at positions 29 to 507 of the family's 1533-position model. The record is from RNAcentral.
GUGAGCGCUGGCGGUAGGCCUAACACAUGCAAGUCGCACGGCAGCACAGUAAGAGCUUGCUCUUACGGGUGGCGAGUGGCGGACGGGUGAGGAAUACAUCGGAAUCUACUUUUUCGUGGGGGAUAACGUAGGGAAACUUACGCUAAUACCGCAUACGACCUACGGGUGAAAGCAGGGGAUCUUCGGACCUUGCGCGAUUGGAUGAGCCGAUGUCGGAUUAGCUAGUUGGCGGGGUAAAGGCCCACCAAGGCGACGAUCCGUAGCUGGUCUGAGAGGAUGAUCAGCCACACUGGAACUGAGACACGGUCCAGACUCCUACGGGAGGCAGCAGUGGGGAAUAUUGGACAAUGGGCGCAAGCCUGAUCCAGCCAUACCGCGUGGGUGAAGAAGGCCUUCGGGUUGUAAAGCCCUUUUGUUGGGAAAGAAAAGCAGCAGGUUAAUACCCCGCUGUUCUGACGGUACCCAAAGAAUAAGCACCGGCUAACUUCGUG